Molecule: long non-coding RNA, 199 nt
Filed under: Musa acuminata (dwarf banana)
Lineage: Eukaryota; Viridiplantae; Streptophyta; Magnoliopsida; Zingiberales; Musaceae
Description: long non-coding RNA (MACU_LNC008068)
Source: RNAcentral
CUUCUCCUCCCCGACGCCCCACACAUGAACUCCUCUGUUUCCUCCUACAUGAAACAGAGGUGCUGCAGCCCUAGCUGCUGUAGCUAUCUCUCUUUCCUCUCCCUCUUCCCUCUCUUCUUCUUCUUCUUCUUUUCUUCUCUUCUCCCUCAACUUCUCUUCUUCUUCUCCCCACGCCCCACCGCUCCUCUCUCUGUUUCUC